GUACUGAAAUGCAUGGUGGGAAAUCAGUGUGAAAUUCAUUGGCUGUUCCUGCAACUGUUAUAGUCAAAGCGCCACCCAGUAC
This 82-nucleotide non-coding RNA is filed under the name unclassified sequences. The record is from Rfam.